GCCCGGGUGGCGGAAUUGGCAGACGCGCAUGGUUGAGGGCCAUGUGGGAGCAAUCCCGUGUGGGUUCAACUCCCGCCCCGGGCA
This 84-nucleotide transfer RNA is filed under the name bacterium. RNAcentral describes it as "tRNA-Leu". It matches the Rfam family "tRNA". From Rfam's summary of the family: Transfer RNA (tRNA) molecules are approximately 80 nucleotides in length. Their secondary structure includes four short double-helical elements and three loops (D, anti-codon, and T loops). Further hydrogen bonds mediate the characteristic L-shaped molecular structure. tRNAs have two regions of fundamental functional importance: the anti-codon, which is responsible for specific mRNA codon recognition, and the 3' end, to which the tRNAs corresponding amino acid is attached (by aminoacyl-tRNA synthetases). tRNAs cope with the degeneracy of the genetic code in two manners: having more than one tRNA (with a specific anti-codon) for a particular amino acid; and 'wobble' base-pairing, i.e. permitting non-standard base-pairing at the 3rd anti-codon position. The record is from RNAcentral. RNAcentral also lists the same sequence under 2 other names.